RNAcentral lists this ribosomal RNA (462 nucleotides) under uncultured bacterium. RNAcentral's name for it is "bacterial SSU rRNA". It matches the Rfam family "Bacterial small subunit ribosomal RNA", at positions 29 to 507 of the family's 1533-position model. The record is from RNAcentral.
AUUGAACGCUGGCGGAAUGCUUUACACAUGCAAGUCGAGCGGCAGCACGGGGGCAACCCUGGUGGCGAGCGGCGAACGGGUGAGUAACACAUCGGAACGUACCCUGUCGUGGGGGAUAACGAGUCGAAAGAUUCGCUAAUACCGCAUACGACCCGAGGGUGAAAGCGGGGGAUCGCAAGACCUCGCGCGACUGGAGCGGCCGAUGGCGGAUUAGCUAGUUGGUGGGGUAAAGGCCCACCAAGGCGACGAUCCGUAGCGGGUCUGAGAGGACGGCCCGCCACACUGGGACUGAGACACGGCCCAUACUCCUACGGGAGGCAGCAGUGGGGAAUUUUGUGCAAUGGGGGAAACCCUGACACAGCGACACCGCGUGAACGAAGAAGCCCUUUGGGGUGUAAACCUCUUUUAUCAGGGAAGAAACAAAUGACGGUACCUGAUGAAUAAGCUCCGGCUAACUUCGUG